UACGUAGGGACCGAGCGUUGUCCGGAUUCAUUGGGCGUAAAGAGCUCGUAGGCGGCUGCUCAAGUCGAAUGUGAAAACUCGAGGCUCAACCUCGAGCCUGCAUUCGAUACUGGGCGGCUAGAGUCUGGUAGGGGGAGUCUGGAAUUCCUGGUGUAGCGGUGAAAUGCGCAGAUAUCAGGAGGAACACCAAUGGCGAAGGCGGCUUCCUGGCUCAUUACUGACGCUCAGGUACGAAAGCGUGGGUAGCAAACAGG
Molecule: ribosomal RNA, 254 nt
Filed under: uncultured bacterium
Lineage: Bacteria
Description: partial 16S ribosomal RNA
Rfam family: Bacterial small subunit ribosomal RNA
Source: RNAcentral